This 406-nucleotide ribosomal RNA is filed under the name uncultured bacterium. RNAcentral describes it as "partial 16S ribosomal RNA". It matches the Rfam family "Bacterial small subunit ribosomal RNA", at positions 28 to 526 of the family's 1533-position model. The record is from RNAcentral.
GAUGAACGCUAGCUACAGGCUUAACACAUGCAAGUCGAGGGACCGGCGCACGGGUGAGUAACACGUACCCAACCUGCCCUUUCCCCGCGGAUAGCCUUUAGAAAGAAAGACUAAUACCCGAUCCAAAGGAUGGGGAUGCGUUCCAUUAGGGUGUAGGUGAGGUAACGGCCCACCAAGCCUUCGAUGGAUAGGGGUUCUGAGAGGAAGGUCCCCCACAUUGGAACAGAGACACGGACCAAACUCCUACGGGAGGCAGCAGAGUGGAAUAUUGGUCAAUAGACGGUAGCCUGAACCAGCCAAGUAGCGUGAAGGAGGGAGGGUUAUGAGUAGUAAACUUCUUUUGUAUAAGAAGAGGUAUUAUAUGAAUAAGGAACGGCUAACUCCGUGCCAGCAGCCGCGGUAAUAC